RNAcentral lists this ribosomal RNA (301 nucleotides) under uncultured bacterium. RNAcentral describes it as "partial 16S ribosomal RNA". It matches the Rfam family "Bacterial small subunit ribosomal RNA", at positions 509 to 807 of the family's 1533-position model. The record is from RNAcentral.
CAGUCGCCGCGGUAAUACAGAGGGUGCGAGCGUUAAUCGGAUUUACUGGGCGUAAAGCGUGCGUAGGCGGCUUUUUAAGUCGGAUGUGAAAUCCCUGAGCUUAACUUAGGAAUUGCAUUCGAUACUGGGAAGCUAGAGUAUGGGAGAGGAUGGUAGAAUUCCAGGUGUAGCGGUGAAAUGCGUAGAGAUCUGGAGGAAUACCGAUGGCGAAGGCAGCCAUCUGGCCUAAUACUGACGCUGAGGUACGAAAGCAUGGGGAGCAAACAGGAUUAGAGACCCGAGUAGUCCCUGUCUCUUAUAC